RNAcentral lists this small RNA (488 nucleotides) under Pan troglodytes (chimpanzee). RNAcentral's name for it is "processed transcript". The record is from RNAcentral. Lineage: Eukaryota; Metazoa; Chordata; Mammalia; Primates; Hominidae.
GUGUGAGAGACCCGUCCCGGUGGGAGGGACCUGGGCUGGGGGGGACGGUGGGGGAACAAGGGGGUGGGACUGGGGAAGCUUCUGAGAACAUUUGCCCUAGGUAUUCAGCUAAACUAAGAAAAAUUGGUCCAAGGCUCGGCACAAAAGGAUCUUUUCAUUCCAGUCCUUUCGCCCACGCAGGGAACGAUGCCUCUGGAGGUGGUGGUGGAGCUGCAGAUCCGGGCGAUUUCUUGCCCAGGAGUGUUCCUGCCUGGCAAACAAGAUGUGUACCUCGGGGUCUACCUCAUGAAUCAGUACCUGGAGACAAACAGCUUUCCCUCUGCGUUCCCCAUUAUGAUUCAGGAGAGCAUGAGAUUUGAAAAGUGUGGGAUGAGUUGGCCUACUAUGAAGAAAACACACGAGAUUUUCUUUUCCCAGAGCCCAAGCUGACACCUUCGCACCCUAGGAGGUGUAGGGAGGUGCUCAUGAAGACGGCUCUGGGUUUUCCA